UAAGGAAUAUUGGUCAAUGGACGCAAGUCUGAACCAGCCAUGCCGCGUGGAGGAUGAAGGUCCUCUGGAUUGUAAACUUCUUUUAUAUGGGACGAAAAAGGGCUUUUCCAAGUCAACUGACGGUACCAUAUGAAUAAGCACCGGCUAACUCCGUGCCAGCAGCCGCGGUAAUACGGAGGGUGCAAGCGUUAUCCGGAUUCACUGGGUUUAAAGGGUGCGUAGGUGGGUUGGUAAGUCAGUGGUGAAAUCCCCGAGCUUAACUCGGGAACUGCCAUUGAUACUAUCAGUCUUGAAUACCGUGGAGGUCAGCGGAAUAUGUCAUGUAGCGGUGAAAUGCUUAGAUACGACAUAGAACACCAAUUGCGAAGGCAGCUGGCUACACGAAUAUUGACACUGAGGCACGAAAGCUGGGGAUCAAACAGGAUUAGAUACCCUGGUAGUCCACGCCCUAAACUAUGGAUACUCGACAUACGCGAUAC
RNAcentral lists this ribosomal RNA (479 nucleotides) under uncultured Bacteroidota bacterium. RNAcentral describes it as "bacterial SSU rRNA". It matches the Rfam family "Bacterial small subunit ribosomal RNA", at positions 355 to 832 of the family's 1533-position model. Lineage: Bacteria; Pseudomonadati; Bacteroidota. The record is from RNAcentral.